This 301-nucleotide ribosomal RNA is filed under the name uncultured bacterium. RNAcentral's name for it is "partial 16S ribosomal RNA". It matches the Rfam family "Bacterial small subunit ribosomal RNA", at positions 509 to 807 of the family's 1533-position model. The record is from RNAcentral.
CAGCCGCCACGGUAAUACGUAGGUGGCAAGCGUUGUCCGGAAUUAUUGGGCGUAAAGGGCUCGCAGGCGGUUUCUUAAGUCUGGUGUGAAAGCCCCCGGCUCAACCGGGGAGGGUCAUUGGAAACUGGGAAACUUGAGUGCAGAAGAGGAGAGUGGAAUUCCACGUGUAGCGGUGAAAUGCGUAGAGAUGUGGAGGAACACCAGUGGCGAAGGCGACUCUCUGGUCUGUAACUGACGCUGAGGAGCGAAAGCGUGGGGAGCGAACAGGAUUAGAUACCCCGGUAGUCCCUGUCUCUUAUAC